AUUGAACGCUGGCGGCAGGCUUAACACAUGCAAGUCGAGCGGGGUGAUGGUGCUUGCACUAUCACUUAGCGGCGGACGGGUGAGUAAUGCUUAGGAAUCUGCCUAUUAGCGGGGGACAACAUCUCGAAAGGGAUGCUAAUACCGCAUACGUCCUACGGGAGAAAGCAGGGGAUCACUUGUGACCUUGCGCUAAUAGAUGAGCCUAAGUCGGAUUAGCUAGUUGGUGGGGUAAAGGCCUACCAAGGCGACGAUCUGUAGCGGGGCUGAGAGGAUGAUCCGCCACACUGGGACUGAGACACGGCCCAGACUCCUACGGGAGGCAGCAGUGUGGAAUAUUGGACAAUGGGGGGAACCCUGAUCCAGCCAUGCCGCGUGUGUGAAGAAGGCCUUAUGGUUGUAAAGCACUAUAAGCGAGGAGGAGGCUCUUUUGGUUAAUACCCAAGAUGAGUGGACGUUACUCGCAGAAUAAGCACCGGCUAACUCUGUGCCAGCCGCCGCAGUAA
Molecule: ribosomal RNA, 503 nt
Filed under: uncultured bacterium
Lineage: Bacteria
Description: partial 16S ribosomal RNA
Rfam family: Bacterial small subunit ribosomal RNA
Source: RNAcentral